UGUUUGGAAUAAAUUGGUUGAUGUUCA
Molecule: small RNA, 27 nt
Filed under: Bombyx mori (domestic silkworm)
Lineage: Eukaryota; Metazoa; Arthropoda; Insecta; Lepidoptera; Bombycidae
Description: ovarian small RNA-36261
Source: RNAcentral